RNAcentral lists this ribosomal RNA (460 nucleotides) under uncultured bacterium. RNAcentral's name for it is "partial 16S ribosomal RNA". It matches the Rfam family "Bacterial small subunit ribosomal RNA", at positions 338 to 795 of the family's 1533-position model. The record is from RNAcentral.
CCUACGGGAGGCAGCCGUGAGGAAUAUUGGUCAAUGGACGAGAGUCUGAACCAGCCAAGUAGCGUGAAGGAUGACUGCCCUAUGGGUUGUAAACUUCUUUUAUCUGGGAAUAAAACGUUCCACGUGUGGGAUUUUGUAUGUACCAUAUGAAUAAGGAUCGGCUAACUCCGUGCCAGCAGCCGCGGUAAUACGGAGGAUCCGAGCGUUAUCCGGAUUUAUUGGGUUUAAAGGGAGCGUAGGUGGAUUGUUAAGUCAGUUGUGAAAGUUUGCGGCUCAACCGUAAAAUUGCAGUUGAAACUGGCAGUCUUGAGUACAGUAGAGGUGGGCGGAAUUCGUGGUGUAGCGGUGAAAUGCUUAGAUAUCACGAAGAACUCCGAUUGCGAAGGCAGUUCACUGAACUGCAACUGACACUGAGGCUCGAAAGUGUGGGUAUCAAACAGGUUUAGAUACCCUUGUAGUC